This 350-nucleotide ribosomal RNA is filed under the name uncultured bacterium. RNAcentral describes it as "bacterial SSU rRNA". It matches the Rfam family "Bacterial small subunit ribosomal RNA", at positions 917 to 1290 of the family's 1533-position model. The record is from RNAcentral.
GGGCCCGCACAAGCGGUGGAGCAUGUGGUUUAAUUCGAUGCAACGCGAAGAACCUUACCAGGGUUUGACAUCCUGCGAAUCUCUUGGAAACAGGAGAGUGCCUUCGGGAACGCAGUGACAGGUGGUGCAUGGCUGUCGUCAGCUCGUGUCGUGAGAUGUUGGGUUAAGUCCCGCAACGAGCGCAACCCACGUCUUUAGUUGCCAUCAUUCAGUUGGGCACUUUAAAGAGACUGCCGGUGAUAAACCGGAGGAAGGUGAGGACGACGUCAAGUCAGCAUGCCCCUUACGCCCUGGGCUACACACGUACUACAAUGGCAGUGACAAUGGGUUAAUCCCCAAAAGCUGUCUCA